GGGAGGUAGUGACAAUAAAUAACAAUACGGGGUUCUUUUGGAUCUCGUAAUUGGAAUGAGUACAAUUUAAAUCUCUUAACGAGAACCAAUUGGAGGGCAAGUCUGGUGCCAGCAGCCGCGGUAAUUCCAGCUCCAAUAGCGUAUAUUAAAGUUGUUGCAGUUAAAAAGCUCGUAGUUGAAUUUCGGGACCAUCAUGUCGGUCGUGCCUCGGUACGUACUGGCAUCGUCGGUUUCUCCCUUCUGACGAACCAUGAUGUCAUUUAUUUGGUGUCGUGGGGAAUCAGGACUGUUACUUUGAAAAAUUAGAGUGUUUAAAGCAGGCUCACGCUUGAAUACAUUAGCAUGGAAUAAUGAAAUAGGACGUUUGAUCCUAUUUUGUUGGUUUCUAGGAUUGACGUAAUGAUUAAUAGGGAUAGUUGGG
Molecule: ribosomal RNA, 421 nt
Filed under: uncultured Glomeraceae
Lineage: Eukaryota; Fungi; Glomeromycota; Glomeromycetes; Glomerales; Glomeraceae
Description: SSU rRNA
Rfam family: Eukaryotic small subunit ribosomal RNA
Source: RNAcentral